This 430-nucleotide ribosomal RNA is filed under the name uncultured bacterium. RNAcentral's name for it is "bacterial SSU rRNA". It matches the Rfam family "Bacterial small subunit ribosomal RNA", at positions 29 to 507 of the family's 1533-position model. The record is from RNAcentral.
ACGAACGCUGGCGGCAGGCCUAACACAUGCAAGUCGAGCGCACCUUCGGGUGAGCGGCGGACGGGUUAGUAACGCGUGGGAACGUGCCCUUCUCUACGGAAUAGCCUCUGGAAACGGAGAGUAAUACCGUAUACGCCCUUUGGGGGAAAGAUUUAUCGGAGAAGGAUCGGCCCGCGUUAGAUUAGGUAGUUGGUGGGGUAACGGCCUACCAAGCCUACGAUCUAUAGCUGGUUUUAGAGGAUGAUCAGCAACACUGGGACUGAGACACGGCCCAGACUCCUACGGGAGGCAGCAGUGGGGAAUCUUAGACAAUGGGGGCAACCCUGAUCUAGCCAUGCCGCGUGAGUGAUGAAGGCCUUAGGGUCGUAAAGCUCUUUCGCCUGUGAUGAUAAUGACAGUAGCAGGUAAAGAAACCCCGGCUAACUCCGUG